RNAcentral lists this ribosomal RNA (253 nucleotides) under uncultured bacterium. RNAcentral's name for it is "partial 16S ribosomal RNA". It matches the Rfam family "Bacterial small subunit ribosomal RNA", at positions 524 to 776 of the family's 1533-position model. The record is from RNAcentral.
UACGUAGGGGGCAAGCGUUGUCCGGAAUCAUUGGGCGUAAAGAGCGUGUAGGCGGCUUGGUAAGUCCGCUGUGAAAGUCCAGGGCUCAACCCUGGAAUGCCGGUGGAAACUGUCAAGCUUGAGUCCGGAAGAGGCGAGUGGAAUUCCUGGUGUAGCGGUGAAAUGCGCAGAUAUCGGGAAGAACACCUAUGGCGAAGGCAGCUCUCUGGGACGGUACUGACGCUGAGACGCGAAAGCGUGGGGAGCGAACAGG